RNAcentral lists this ribosomal RNA (584 nucleotides) under Undibacterium sp. StTD408. RNAcentral's name for it is "bacterial SSU rRNA". It matches the Rfam family "Bacterial small subunit ribosomal RNA", at positions 102 to 682 of the family's 1533-position model. The record is from RNAcentral. RNAcentral also lists the same sequence under 1 other name. Lineage: Bacteria; Pseudomonadati; Pseudomonadota; Betaproteobacteria; Burkholderiales; Oxalobacteraceae.
ACGGGUGAGUAAUAUAUCGGAACAUACCCUAGAGUGGGGGAUAACGUAGCGAAAGUUACGCUAAUACCGCAUACGAUCUAAGGAUGAAAGCGGGGGAUCGCAAGACCUCGUGCUCAUGGAGUGGCCGAUAUCUGAUUAGCUAGUUGGUAGGGUAAAAGCCUACCAAGGCGACGAUCAGUAGCUGGUUUGAGAGAACGACCAGCCACACUGGAACUGAGACACGGUCCAGACUCCUACGGGAGGCAGCAGUGGGGAAUUUUGGACAAUGGGGGCAACCCUGAUCCAGCAAUGCCGCGUGAGUGAAGAAGGCCUUCGGGUUGUAAAGCUCUUUUGUCAGGGAAGAAACGGUGAGUUCUAAUACAACUUGCUAAUGACGGUACCUGAAGAAUAAGCACCGGCUAACUACGUGCCAGCAGCCGCGGUAAUACGUAGGGUGCAAGCGUUAAUCGGAAUUACUGGGCGUAAAGCGUGCGCAGGCGGUUUUAUAAGUCUGAUGUGAAAUCCCCGGGCUCAACCUGGGAACUGCAUUGGAGACUGUAAGGCUAGAGUGUGUCAGAGGGGGGUAGAAUUCCACGUGUAGCAGU